This 430-nucleotide ribosomal RNA is filed under the name uncultured Massilia sp. RNAcentral describes it as "bacterial SSU rRNA". It matches the Rfam family "Bacterial small subunit ribosomal RNA", at positions 354 to 776 of the family's 1533-position model. Lineage: Bacteria; Pseudomonadati; Pseudomonadota; Betaproteobacteria; Burkholderiales; Oxalobacteraceae. The record is from RNAcentral.
GUGGGGAAUUUUGGACAAUGGGCGCAAGCCUGAUCCAGCAAUGCCGCGUGAGUGAAGAAGGCCUUCGGGUUGUAAAGCUCUUUUGUCAGGGAAGAAACGGGCCUGGUUAAUACCUGGGCUUAAUGACGGUACCUGAAGAAUAAGCACCGGCUAACUACGUGCCAGCAGCCGCGGUAAUACGUAGGGUGCAAGCGUUAAUCGGAAUUACUGGGCGUAAAGCGUGCGCAGGCGGUUUUGUAAGUCUGACGUGAAAUCCCCGGGCUUAACCUGGGAAUUGCGUUGGAGACUGCAAGGCUGGAGUCUGGCAGAGGGGGGUAGAAUUCCACGUGUAGCAGUGAAAUGCGUAGAGAUGUGGAGGAACACCGAUGGCGAAGGCAGCCCCCUGGGUCAAGACUGACGCUCAUGCACGAAAGCGUGGGGAGCAAACAGG